AGCGCAGGUGGUUUAUUAAGUCUGGUGUAAAAGGCAGUGGCUCAACCAUUGUAUGCAUUGGAAACUGGUAGACUUGAGUGCAGGAGAGGAGAGUGGAAUUCCAUGUGUAGCGGUGAAAUGCGUAGAUAUAUGGAGGAACACCGGUGGCGAAAGCGGCUCUCUGGCCUGUAACUGACACUGAGGCUCGAAAGGCUGGGAGCAAACA
RNAcentral lists this ribosomal RNA (205 nucleotides) under uncultured bacterium. RNAcentral describes it as "partial 16S ribosomal RNA". It matches the Rfam family "Bacterial small subunit ribosomal RNA", at positions 568 to 774 of the family's 1533-position model. The record is from RNAcentral.